CGGGACUCUUGACUUCUAUCGACCUGCGCACGGAAACAAUCGUACGCUGAGUAUUUUAUGCUCAGUGGUAUUACUAUAAUUCAAAUUAUAACAAUAAUAAACAUGUAAUGCAAAAAUCAUACAUAUAAAUUUAAAUUCAAAUUUCAUAUUUCAUAUUUCAACAAUAACAAUUCAUCAAUUAAUAUCAUAUAUCCACAAUUUGAACUUGGAACAUCAUGAACCUUAGGUUCAUUCCUCAAUCU
RNAcentral lists this long non-coding RNA (242 nucleotides) under Gossypium barbadense (sea-island cotton). Its description in RNAcentral is "long non-coding RNA (GBAR_LNC020786)". The record is from RNAcentral. Lineage: Eukaryota; Viridiplantae; Streptophyta; Magnoliopsida; Malvales; Malvaceae.